AUACGGAGGAUGCAAGCGUUAUCCGGAUUUAUUGGGUUUAAAGGGUGCGCAGGCGGGAAAAUAAGUCAGUGGUGAAAUCCUGCAGCUUAACUGUAGAAUUGCCGUUGAUACUGUUUUUCUUGAGUGUGGUCAAGGAAGGCGGAAUGUGUAAUGUAGCGGUGAAAUGCUUAGAUAUUACACAGAACACCAAUUGCGAAGGCAGCUUUCUGGGCCGUAACUGACGUUCAUGCACGAAAGCGUGGGGAUCGAACAGGAUUAGAUACCCUGGUAGUCCACGCCGUAAACGAUGAUCACUCGCUGUUGGCGAUAUACAGUCAGCGGCAAAGCAAAAGCAUUAAGUGAUCCACCUGGGGAGUACGGCCGCAAGGCUGAA
RNAcentral lists this ribosomal RNA (373 nucleotides) under uncultured bacterium. RNAcentral's name for it is "bacterial SSU rRNA". It matches the Rfam family "Bacterial small subunit ribosomal RNA", at positions 523 to 898 of the family's 1533-position model. The record is from RNAcentral.